GUCCCCACACGGGAACAAGGGCAGAGUCACUUGGUUCCAGGCAGAGGAGCUUCUGAGGCUGGCCCAGGACACCCAGUGCCCCAGCACUCCACUCCACAACAUUCAGCUGGCUCUGCUCAGGGAGUGCCCCCCUGCUCCUGAGCUGCCAAUUCUGGCUGUGGCCCCAGAGCCACCCCCCAUGGAAGUUGCCCCCCCAUCUGAAGAGGUCUGCUGCCUGUGGUUCAUUCAAAUUCUACUUUACCUCUUGUGGAACUUGGUGUUCUCUUAAUGCGGUCUGAAUAAAGUGUUGUUCUAUGGA
Long non-coding RNA from Erinaceus europaeus (western European hedgehog), 298 nucleotides. RefSeq lists it as uncharacterized. The record is from RefSeq and is a predicted model, not a curated record. The transcript is spliced from 2 exons. NCBI's taxonomy places the organism in Eukaryota, Metazoa, Chordata, Mammalia, Eulipotyphla, Erinaceidae.